UACGUAGGGUGCGAGCGUUGCCCGGAUUUAUUGGGCGUAAAGGGCGCGCAGGCGGCAGUUCAAGUCUGCUGUCAAAGACCGGGGCUUAACUUCGGAAAGGCAGUGGAAACUGAACAGCUAGAGUAUGGUAGGGGCAGAGGGAAUUCCUGGUGUAGCGGUGAAAUGCGUAGAGAUCAGGAAGAACAUCGGUGGCGAAGGCGCUCUGCUGGACCAUAACUGACACUCAGGGACGAAAGCUAGGGGAGCGAAUGGG
RNAcentral lists this ribosomal RNA (253 nucleotides) under uncultured bacterium. RNAcentral describes it as "partial 16S ribosomal RNA". It matches the Rfam family "Bacterial small subunit ribosomal RNA", at positions 524 to 776 of the family's 1533-position model. The record is from RNAcentral.